RNAcentral lists this long non-coding RNA (557 nucleotides) under Phoenix dactylifera (date palm). RNAcentral's name for it is "long non-coding RNA (PDAC_LNC021490)". Lineage: Eukaryota; Viridiplantae; Streptophyta; Magnoliopsida; Arecales; Arecaceae. The record is from RNAcentral.
CCAAUACACGAAAGCUUGUCUUCAAAUUCAGCAUCAUUGCAACAUACCUUGUUAUAUUACCAGCCAAUCUCAGAUCCUUUACAGUAAAUGCUUUUUCCCCAUGUAAAUCUGAAUCAAUGAUGCCAACGUAGCAGAUCCUUUUGGUUAACUUUUGAUACAGCUUAGUUAACAAUUGCGUGGCAUCCAUUGCUUUUUGAACAUUGCACUAUAAUCAUCCUCAACAUUCAAAACUAUAAAAUAUAAAUCCCAAAAUGACAUAUUGUAGUCCUCUAAUAAUUAAUUUUGCACAUCAGCUUCACAGUCACAGAUUUAUAUUAGCAGGUUGUCUUCUAAAAUCUGCUUGAUAUUGCAGGACCAUGGUGCCUACAGAUUAACCAGCAGAGCUUGGAACCUCCUUUUUUCUUCUGGAGUUAAACAUAGUAAUGGGGCUUCAGCUUAUUCCUUGUCAUAUAAAUUCACUCACGGACAACAUUUUGAUUCAUCACUUUGUAGAAAUUCAUUCUCAAUUCUUAACUAAUAUUUAUGCUUACAUCAAAAAUUUUACCAUCAUUCAUUUU